GGCAGGAUGGCCGAAUGGUCUAAGGCGCUGGUUUUAGGCACCAGUCACUUCGGUGGCGCGGAUUCGAAUCCCGUUCCUGUCA
Molecule: transfer RNA, 82 nt
Filed under: Clytia hemisphaerica
Lineage: Eukaryota; Metazoa; Cnidaria; Hydrozoa; Leptothecata; Clytiidae
Description: tRNA-Leu for anticodon UAG
Rfam family: tRNA
About the family: Transfer RNA (tRNA) molecules are approximately 80 nucleotides in length. Their secondary structure includes four short double-helical elements and three loops (D, anti-codon, and T loops). Further hydrogen bonds mediate the characteristic L-shaped molecular structure. tRNAs have two regions of fundamental functional importance: the anti-codon, which is responsible for specific mRNA codon recognition, and the 3' end, to which the tRNAs corresponding amino acid is attached (by aminoacyl-tRNA synthetases). tRNAs cope with the degeneracy of the genetic code in two manners: having more than one tRNA (with a specific anti-codon) for a particular amino acid; and 'wobble' base-pairing, i.e. permitting non-standard base-pairing at the 3rd anti-codon position.
Source: Rfam by way of RNAcentral